Molecule: ribosomal RNA, 253 nt
Filed under: uncultured bacterium
Lineage: Bacteria
Description: partial 16S ribosomal RNA
Rfam family: Bacterial small subunit ribosomal RNA
Source: RNAcentral
UACGAAGGGGGCUAGCGUUGUUCGGAAUUACUGGGCGUAAAGGGCGCGUAGGCGGUUUAGUAAGUCAGAUGUGAAAGCCCCGGGCUUAACCUGGGAACUGCAUUUGAUACUGCUAGACUAGAGGAUGAGAGAGGAAAGUGGAAUUGCGAGUGUAGAGGUGAAAUUCGUAGAUAUUCGCAAGAACACCAGUGGCGAAGGCGACUUUCUGGCUCAUUACUGACGCUAAAGCGCGAAAGCGUGGGGAGCAAACAGG